This 238-nucleotide ribosomal RNA is filed under the name uncultured bacterium. RNAcentral's name for it is "partial 16S ribosomal RNA". It matches the Rfam family "Bacterial small subunit ribosomal RNA", at positions 15 to 244 of the family's 1533-position model. The record is from RNAcentral.
GAUCCUGGCUCAGGAUGAACGCUAGCUACAGGCUUAACACAUGCAAGUCGAGGGGCAGCAUGGUCUUAGCUUGCUAAGGCCGAUGGCGACCGGCGCACGGGUGAGUAACGCGUAUCCAACCUGCCUUACACUCUUGGACAGCCUUCUGAAAGGGAGAUUAAUACAAGAUGUUAUCAUGGGUAAGCAUUUUCGCAUGAUUAAAGGUUUACCGGUGUAAGAUGGGGAUGCGUUCCAUUGG